Non-coding RNA from Callithrix jacchus (white-tufted-ear marmoset), 4261 nucleotides. Lineage: Eukaryota; Metazoa; Chordata; Mammalia; Primates; Cebidae. The record is from RefSeq and is a predicted model, not a curated record.
AUGCUGGAGACUGGGGACCAAAGAGCAGAAUUGCAGAGCAUAGCUAAGAAAGGGGCUCAGAAAAUGAGCCACACUUAUGCAGGUUAUUUAAAUACAUUGCUCCAACUAAACUUCACAAUAAUUCCAAGAAGGAGGUGGCGGUGGGUGGAACUCAUAGUGAAGCGCUUGUGGAGUUCGGCUGGAAGAGCAACCAAGGUGAAGGUGAAGAUGCGGAGCUGGAAUCUGGACAAUCAUGUUCACGAAACCAAGCUGGACCAACACAAAGUUCCAAGAAACUAUGUUCCUACCUUACAUGCUUUUGAGGUCCCACGAGAACAUGUAAGAGCUUUAAAUGCUACCAUCCUGGAAUGGGUAUUUGCAAAACCAUUCCUUGCCUUGUUGGAUGGUCACCAAGAUGGAGUCAAUUGCUUGGCAAUGCAUCCAAAGAACUUGGCUACUGCCCUUUCUGGGGCAUGUGAUGGAGAGGUUAGAAUUUGGAACUUGACUCAACGGAAAUGUAUCUGUACAAUACAAGCACAUGAAGGCUUUGUAUGAGGAAUAUGUACUUGCUUUUGUGGGACUUCUUUUUUCACUGUUGGUGAUGACAAAACUGAAGCAGUGGAAAAUGAGAAGAGGAAGAACCAUUACAUACAAUAUUAGGAAAGGCAGUGUGGACUGGGAUUGCCCAUCACUGUAAAGAAGCUGUUUUUGCUACACGUGCACAGCAAAUAGACAUUUGGGAUAAACAAAGAACUAAUCCUAUAUGUUCAAUGACCUGGGAAUUUGACAGUAUGAGUAGUGUUAAAUUUAACCCAAUUGAGACAUUUCUUUUGGAAAGUUGUGUGCCUGACAGGAAUAUAGUACUAUAUGAUAGGAGGCAAGCUACUCCUUUGAAAAAGGUUAUCUUAGACAGGAGAACAAAUACAAUCUGUUGGAACCCUAUGGAAGCUUUCAUUUUUACAGCGACAAAUGCAGAUUCUAAUUUAUAUACUUUUAAGAUGUGUGCAGUGGACACUCCUGUAAUGGUCCAUAUGGAUCAUGUAUCUGCAUUCCUUGAUGUGGAUUACUCUCCCACUAGGAAAGAGUUUGUGUCUGCUAGUUUUGAUAAAUCUAUUCAAAUCUUUCCUGUGGACAAAAGUUGAAGCAGGGAGGUAUAUCAUACAAAGCGAACACAACAUGUUAUCUGUGUAAAAUGGACUUCUGACUGCAAGUAUAUUAUGUUUGGGUCUGAUGAAAUGAACAUUCGCCUAUGGCAAGCUAAUGCUUCUGAAAAAUUGGGUGUGCUUACGUCACGAGAAAACGCAGCCAAGGAUUAUAACCAGAAAUUGAAGGAAAAAUUUCAGCAUCAUCCUCAUAUAAAACAUAUAGCUCGUGAUUGACAUCUACCAAAAUCUAUCUACAGCCAUAUUCAGGAACAGCACAUCAUGAAAGAAGCUUGUUGAUGAAAGGAAGUGAAUCAUAUUAAACACGGCAAGCCUGGAUCUGUGCCAGUUGUGUCAGAGAAGAAGAAACACGUAGUGGCAGUUGUAAAAUAAUUGGUAUUCCUAACAAUCCUGAUGUAUAAUUAUUUUUUACCUUUGAUUUGAGAACUCUAUGAAUAAGUGUUGGGACUUGAAAAAAAAAAUAAUUCCAAGAAGGAGACAUUGUUCUUCCCAUAUUACACUUCUCAGGUAAAAAACAAAGCUCUGAGAUGAUUAGUUAUUUGCAUAAAAGCACCUACCUUAAUAUUAACAGAGAUCAGCCUUAAAUACAGGAUUUUAUGUCUAAAUUUAUGAAUUCUGUUUAUUCUGAUGGGUGAAUCGCUUUGAUUAAGCCCACUGGAAUUGGUGUGCUUUUGUAGCCAUUAUGCCUGGAGUCCUUGAUCAUUGUUUAUUCUUUCUCUUGCUUCAUGACCCCACAGUGGAAUUUCUGUUGAGGAUCCCCAAGACCAUUUUUAUAUUCUUGCUAAAAGACUCAAAGGACUCUACUUAUAGUGGUAAUCAUAGCUAAGAUUUAUUGUAAUAAAAGGGUACAAAACAAGAUAAAUGAAGGAUAAUGACCCUAGGGCAAAGUCUGAAGGAAACUAGGUGCAUGCUUCCAAGGGGCCUCUCCUGGUGGAUUUACAAUAGAUGCACUUAAUUCCUCUAGCAGUGUCUUAUGAAAAUGUGUGAAAUGUUGUCUACCAGGGAAGCUCAUUAAAGACUCAGGACCCAAUAUUUUUGGGGAGGUGUUCACAAAGCCACUCUGUGACUAGCAUGCACCAAAAUUUCAGACUCCCAGAAAGAAGGCAGGUAUUCAACAUAAACAACAAUGCACAAACGAUUUAGACACAGUAAGAUGCUUUUAUGAUUUAAAGAAAGUUUUAUAUCAGUGUAGAGAACUGUUUACCAGUUAAGUUCUCAGAUGCCAACUAAGGGCCGGGUUUGCAAGCAGGCCUUUUUUUUUUUUUUUUUUUUUUUUCACAAAAUUCAAAUGACCUCACAUAAUGAUCCCACUCCAAAAUGUUUUGUCAUUUGCUAUUCUUGAAAUUAAAUCAGGAGUAAGUUCAUGCCUUGGAGUGUUAAAAAGGACAUGAUGCAUGUUAGAAAUAGCCCAAAAUGUUAUUCAUUUGGGGAUUUAAUUUCUUCCUUCCUUCAUUUACUGACCCUCAGAAUAUUUAUUGAAUACCUGUUGUGCUGGGAAGUGGCAGAGCAGACUGAUUAACAUCAUAGUCUCAGAAUCAAGAUGCCUGGGUUUAAUUCCUAAUUCUACCACUUACCAGUUAUAUAAUGUUAGACAAGUUUCUAAUAACUUCUCUGUGGUCAUGUUUUCACAUCUGUAAAACGGGGAUUACAACAGUGCCUACUUCAUAGGGUUUGGGAGGAUAAGACAAGUUAAUAUGCUGUCUGGCACAUAGUGAGUGGGUAAUAAAAGUUAGCUCCUAUUAUGUUCUUCAUAUUGUGCUGGCUCUGGGUAUGCAGUGAUGAAUAGGGCAGAUGUGGUUCCUGCUAGAAUAGAAAUUCUGGCCUUGUGGAUGAUUCAAGCAAAUAAGCAUAAAAUUAUUUUGGAGAGUAAUAACUGCUCCAGUAGGUAAAAUCUUUUGGGUUUUUUAUGAGAGCACAUAAGAGAAAGCCUCACCUAGCUUGGAGGAGGAGAAGUAGAAUUCAGAGAAAAGGGAGAAGGAAGUUGAAAGUGGAGAGAGACUGUGCCAUGCCAAGGGAACAUCUUGGGCAAAAGGUAUUGAAGUGAGGGUAGGAGGUAGAGAGGGGCACUGUAUAUUGGAAUAGGUGAAGUAAUACAUGAUAUGGCUGUAGGAGAGAUAAACUUGUAAUGAUAAACAGGGACCAGAAGAUAAAGAGCUUUUCAAGUCCUUUUCACUUGGCCUGAGAAUAAUGAGUUCUACAGGGGCCAAACCUGGGGACAACUCCCUUUGGAAACACAAGCUGGCUUGAUCCUGAUGGAAGUCUCCUUUGUGUGUAUAGCUCCCUCUCUGAAGAUGGCACUGUCAGCUUUCCUUAGCAAAAGACAGUGAUGACUCUUUUCCCUUUGUGCUUCCUCUCUGUAGAUCAGGUAUUGAUCUGGAACAUUCUGGACCAGGGCUGAGGCAAUUUUAGGGGCUAUUAACAAAUUAAACAUUUUUCAGUUUGCUGCACAUGAGGAUUCUGGAUGUGAGAACAAUAAAAGAAAAGAAUAAGGACAUUUGGUUGUAUUCGUGCUUAGUGAAACUGGUAAAGAAACCACCUGCAAGUACUUAAGUGUCAGUGCUCACCUGUCUGCAAUACAGUCCAGCCUCUUAGAGUGGGCCCAAGUAGUGAUCAGCACUAAACUUGAUGCGAUAUUGUAAUUCUAUGAUUUGGCCUCCUGAAUUUGUGAUUAUUGGGUUACUCCCUUUUCCCCCACAUGCUUCUCUUAUUGGUAUUUCUUUAUACUUUAUGUGCUUUCCAAAUCAUGCUGACAUAUCAGGAAAUGAUUUAUAUUAAGCACACAAGCCAUAAUGAACAUGUCAUUAUUUGUGGAGUAGAAGGGACUGAAAAUUAGUAUUUCCCUGCUGCUUUUUACUGUGGUGAUACUGCCACUUUAAUGAUACAUUUUUUAUUUUGUUCUAAGUAAAAAUGUCUUCUUAAGCUAAUUGUAUAUAACAUUAGGAUUACACCAAAAUUUCUAAUUUUGCAUGGGGCCAUUAUAGUAUCACUUAGGCAAAAAGGUUCCUAAUCCAUCAAGAUUCCACAUUUUAGAGGAAAGUUUUAUGUAUCUCUCUCUCUCUCUCUCUCUCUUUCUCUCUCACACACACACACACACACACACACACACACACACACACACA